This is a non-coding RNA of Paramuricea clavata, 92 nucleotides long. NCBI's taxonomy places the organism in Eukaryota, Metazoa, Cnidaria, Anthozoa, Malacalcyonacea, Plexauridae. The record is from the annotation of a GenBank genome assembly.
UUUCCGCGCGGAGCGGAAUUUCUCUUUGUCUUUUCUAAUUAGUUCCACCCGAGAAAUCACAAGACAAAGAAAAAUUCCGCUCCGCGCGGAAA